RNAcentral lists this non-coding RNA (24 nucleotides) under Drosophila erecta. The record is from RNAcentral. RNAcentral also lists the same sequence under 1 other name. Lineage: Eukaryota; Metazoa; Arthropoda; Insecta; Diptera; Drosophilidae.
UUGAAUCUAUUGCUGAUAGGGAGU